AUUGAACGCUGGCGGCAGGCCUAACACAUGCAAGUCGAGCGGAUGAAGGGAGCUUGCUCCUGGAUUCAGCGGCGGACGGGUGAGUAAUGCCUAGAAAUCUGCCUGGUAGUGGGGGAUAACGUCCGGAAACGGGCGCUAAUACCGCAUACGUCCUGAGGGAGAAAGUGGGGGAUCUUCGGACCUCACGCUAUCAGAUGAGCCUAGGUCGGAUUAGCUAGUUGGUGGGGUAAAGGCCUACCAAGGCGACGAUCCGUAACUGGUCUGAGAGGAUGAUCAGUCACACUGGAACUGAGACACGGUCCAGACUCCUACGGGAGGCAGCAGUGGGGAAUAUUGGACAAUGGGCGAAAGCCUGAUCCAGCCAUGCCGCGUGUGUGAAGAAGGUCUUCGGAUUGUAAAGCACUUUAAGUUGGGAGGAAGGACAGUAAGUUAAUACCUUGCUGUUUUGACGUUACCAACAGAAUAAGCACCGGCUAACUUCGUG
This 484-nucleotide ribosomal RNA is filed under the name uncultured bacterium. RNAcentral's name for it is "partial 16S ribosomal RNA". It matches the Rfam family "Bacterial small subunit ribosomal RNA", at positions 30 to 507 of the family's 1533-position model. The record is from RNAcentral.